RNAcentral lists this long non-coding RNA (2445 nucleotides) under Citrus sinensis (sweet orange). RNAcentral's name for it is "long non-coding RNA (CSIN_LNC002037)". The record is from RNAcentral. Lineage: Eukaryota; Viridiplantae; Streptophyta; Magnoliopsida; Sapindales; Rutaceae.
GUACGUUUCAUAAUUUUUACUUACUUUAUUUGCUUUGAAAAUAACAGUCAUGCAUCUGCUAAGUCUUUGUAGAUGGUCAAAAUCAUUAUGAAUAAUUUUGUUUGUUUGUAAAUUGCUUUAAUUCCUUGUAAUUAAAGUGUAUAUAUGUAUAUACAUAUAUAGAGAACUGAUAUUGAACCUAAAGGGCGACACUGGGGGCAUAAAUAAUACUCCGAUAUCUGUGCCGUUUAUGUCGCCUCUUUUUUUUUAUAUUAAUCACGAGGUAUCCUGGGGAGGGCCCCAACUAUGGGAGGCACCUUUAAGCCCGUACCACAACCCAGACUAGAAGUCCCCGCUCGAACCGAGAGGCACAGGUUCUCCCAACAAAGGCGACUUCCCUGCGACUCGAACUGGGGAGCAAACCCAGUCAAGCCACUUAAGGGGACUCCAUUGCCAGUGGAGCCAACACUUUGUUGGUGUUUAUGUCGCCUCUUUGUCACCCUUUGAGCUCGAUAUCAUUAUUGACAUAUAUAAGCUCGUGGACACCCUUCGCUUAAUUAUUUAUAUUUUUCAUUUUUGUUUUCUGAUGAGAUCACAGAGUGUGUAGUAACCCUACACGUCCAGGCGGGAGCCACGGGGGAGGAGGAAAGAUCAAUAGCGAGAAGCCGAAAUCUCUCAACAAUGCUCAAAUUGAAGUAAAAGAAUCUGCUGACAAAAACAAAGCAGUAAAAGAAGAUGGUGCUGCAAAGAAUAAGUCUAAUUAAGGCUUCAAAUCAAUUAGUUAAUGGCCGCUUAAUUUAGAGGGCAUGGCUUACAUAGGCAUGCGGCCAUAAAAUUAUAGUUUCUCUACUGUACUAGACUGCCUUAAAAUGUUUAAUAAGGCUAGCUGCUUUUAGUGUCAAGUGUGUGGUGGCUAAUAAUUAUCACGUGUUCUUAGAAAAAAAUAAAUAAAGCCACGUUAUGUGUAUAUGCAUCAUGAGGGUUUGGACUUGAGGUAGUUUAAUUAAUUAUUAUCAGCUAGCAUAGUUGCUAUAUGUCAUCAGUUUGUGUUAUGAGUUGUAUGCACAUGUACUAUUCCCUGCGACUUUGUAUGUUGUUGGAAUUCGCGCCUACGAUGGGUCGGACAAGCCCAAAAGAAAGAAAUAUUCAUAAGUUUCUUUCAAAUAGAGUUUCAUAUGCCCAUUAAAAAAAAAAAAAAAUAGAGUUUCAUAAAUAUUCAUAAGUUUCUUUCAAAUAGAGUUUCAUAUGCCCAUUAAAAAAAAAAAAAAAUAGAGUUUCAUAAAUAUUCAUAAGUUUCUUUCAAAUAGAGUUUCAUAUGCCCAUUAAAAAAAAAAAAAAAUAGAGUUUCAUAAAUAUUCAUAAGUUUCUUUCAAAUAGAGUUUCAUAUGCCCAUUAAAAAAAAAAAAAAAUAGAGUUUCAUAAAUAUUCAUAAGUUUCUUUCAAAUAGAGUUUCAUAUGCCCAUUAAAAAAAAAAAAAAAUAGAGUUUCAUAAAUAUUCAUAAGUUUCUUUCAAAUAGAGUUUCAUAUGCCCAUUAAAAAAAAAAAAAAAUAGAGUUUCAUAAAUAUUCAUAAGUUUCUUUCAAAUAGAGUUUCAUAUGCCCAUAAAAAAAAAAUAUGUCGCCUCUUUGUCACCCUUUGAGCUCGAUAUCAUUAUUGACAUAUAUAAGCUCGUGGACACCCUUCGCUUAAUUAUUUAUAUUUUUCAUUUUUGUUUUCUGAUGAGAUCACAGAGUGUGUAGUAACCCUACACGUCCAGGCGGGAGCCACGGGGGAGGAGGAAAGAUCAAUAGCGAGAAGCCGAAAUCUCUCAACAAUGCUCAAAUUGAAGUAAAAGAAUCUGCUGACAAAAACAAAGCAGUAAAAGAAGAUGGUGCUGCAAAGAAUAAGUCUAAUUAAGGCUUCAAAUCAAUUAGUUAAUGGCCGCUUAAUUUAGAGGGCAUGGCUUACAUAGGCAUGCGGCCAUAAAAUUAUAGUUUCUCUACUGUACUAGACUGCCUUAAAAUGUUUAAUAAGGCUAGCUGCUUUUAGUGUCAAGUGUGUGGUGGCUAAUAAUUAUCACGUGUUCUUAGAAAAAAAUAAAUAAAGCCACGUUAUGUGUAUAUGCAUCAUGAGGGUUUGGACUUGAGGUAGUUUAAUUAAUUAUUAUCAGCUAGCAUAGUUGCUAUAUGUCAUCAGUUUGUGUUAUGAGUUGUAUGCACAUGUACUAUUCCCUGCGACUUUGUAUGUUGUUGGAAUUCGCGCCUACGAUGGGUCGGACAAGCCCAAAAGAAAGAAAUAUUCAUAAGUUUCUUUCAAAUAGAGUUUCAUAUGCCCAUUAAAAAAAAAAAAAAAUAGAGUUUCAUAAAUAUUCAUAAGUUUCUUUCAAAUAGAGUUUCAUAUGCCCAUAAAAAAAAAAUAGAGUUUCAUAUGAAUGUUGUAAGUUUAAUUAUACUCUAAGAGUUAUGAAAUUUUAUGCUUGACUUCUAU